CCUUCAUGAAGCCGGAAUUGCUAGUAAUGGCAGGUCAGCAUACUGCCGUGAAUACGUUCCCGGGCCUUGUACACACCGCCCGUCACACCAUGAGAGUUGGGGAUACCCGAAGCCUGUGAGCCAACAGUUUACUGAGGCAGCAGUCGAAGGUAGAAUCAAUGAUUGGGGUGAAGUCGUAACAAGGUACC
Molecule: ribosomal RNA, 188 nt
Filed under: uncultured bacterium
Lineage: Bacteria
Description: partial 16S ribosomal RNA
Rfam family: Bacterial small subunit ribosomal RNA
Source: RNAcentral